This 253-nucleotide ribosomal RNA is filed under the name uncultured bacterium. RNAcentral's name for it is "partial 16S ribosomal RNA". It matches the Rfam family "Bacterial small subunit ribosomal RNA", at positions 524 to 776 of the family's 1533-position model. The record is from RNAcentral.
UACGUAGGGAGCAAGCGUUGUUCGGAAUUACUGGGCGUAAAGGGCGCGUAGGCGGCCUGCUAAGUCGAACGUGAAAUCCCCGGGCUCAACCCGGGAACUGCGUCCGAUACUGGCAGGCUUGAAUUCGGGAGAGGGAUGCGGAAUUCCAGGUGUAGCGGUGAAAUGCGUAGAUAUCUGGAGGAACACCGGUGGCGAAGGCGGCAUCCUGGACCGAAAUUGACGCUGAGGCGCGAAAGCCAGGGGAGCAAACGGG